GAAGCGGCAACAGCUCAAAUUUGAAAUCUGGCCCUAGCGGUCCGAGUUGUAAUUUGUAGAGGAUGCUUUAGGUGCGGUACCUUCUGAGUUCCCUGGAACGGGACGCCAGAGAGGGUGAGAGCCCCGUACGGUGGGAUACCAAGCCUAUGUAUAGCUCCUUCGACGAGUCGAGUAGUUUGGGAAUGCUGCUCUAAAUGGGAGGUAUAUUUCUUCUAAAGCUAAAUACCGGCCAGAGACCGAUAGCGCACAAGUAGAGUGAUCGAAAGAUGAAAAGCACUUUGAAAAGAGGGUUAAAUAGCACGUGAAAUUGUUGAAAGGGAAGCGUUUGCGACCAGACCUUUUCCAGGCGGAUCAUCCAGCGUUCUCGCUGGUGCACUUCGCCUGGUUUAGGCCAGCAUCGGUUCUCUUAGGGGGAUAAAGACCAGGGGAACGUGGCUCCUUCGGGAGUGUUAUAGCCCCUGGUGUAAUACCCUUCAGGGGACCGAGGACCGCGCUUCGGCUAGGAUGCUGGCGUAAUGGUCGUCAACGACCCGUCUUGAAACACGGACCAAGGAGUCGAACAUUGGUGCGAGUGUUUGGGUGUUAAACCCUCACGCGUAAUGAAAGUGAACGGAGGUGAGAGCCCGUACGGGUGCAUCAUCGACCGAUCCUGAUGUCUUCGGAUGGAUUUGAGUAAGAGCAUCACUGUUCGGACCCGAAAGAUGGUGAACUAUGCGUGGAUAGGGUGAAGCCAGAGGAAACUCUGGUGGAGGCUCGCAGCGGUUCUGACGUGCAAAUCGAUCGUCAAAUCUGCGCAUGGGGGCGAAAGA
RNAcentral lists this ribosomal RNA (809 nucleotides) under Hypoxylon cocois. RNAcentral's name for it is "Hypoxylon sp. DB-2023a partial large subunit ribosomal RNA". It matches the Rfam family "Eukaryotic large subunit ribosomal RNA", at positions 95 to 930 of the family's 3401-position model. The record is from RNAcentral. Lineage: Eukaryota; Fungi; Ascomycota; Sordariomycetes; Xylariales; Hypoxylaceae.